Molecule: transfer RNA, 83 nt
Filed under: Chloroflexota bacterium
Lineage: Bacteria; Bacillati; Chloroflexota
Description: Chloroflexi bacterium tRNA-Leu
Rfam family: tRNA
About the family: Transfer RNA (tRNA) molecules are approximately 80 nucleotides in length. Their secondary structure includes four short double-helical elements and three loops (D, anti-codon, and T loops).
Source: RNAcentral
GCGGAAGUGGCGUAAUGGCAGCCGCGAUAGCUUCAGGGGCUAUUGCCCGCAAGGGCGUGGGGGUUCAAAUCCCCCCUUCCGCA